AAGUCGUAACAAGGUUUCCGUAGGUGAACCUGCGGAAGGAUCAUUAACACGUAUCCAAACGUUAAAACAACCCUGUGAAUAUUGAAUCUCAGUUCCCCCAGGGCAGAAAAAUGGGCUUCCUCUAGUAAAUCAUUGUCUUAACAAGGUUUUGAGUUAGAGGAUGGCGCACGAGUAGCACCUGUAUUGGGUCGAGCGUUUACAACUAUCCACUCCUGGUGCCCCCAAGCAACCAUCAAUCUGAAAGUGUUUGGUUGGCCCCACAGGGAGGUAACGACCCCCGGUCGAUGGCCGUGUGGACCACCGAUCGUUGACUGCGCUGCCCUUGCACAAUUCACGUUCAUUCAGGUUGAACAUGAUGCAUGUCUACCGCGCCCGACGAAAGUCCGACGCACCCCUAACCGAACAACUGUUAACAAUGGAUAUCUUGGUUCUC
RNAcentral lists this unclassified non-coding RNA (433 nucleotides) under fungal sp. RNAcentral describes it as "partial internal transcribed spacer region". The stretch from base 1 to 46 matches the Rfam family "Eukaryotic small subunit ribosomal RNA", at positions 1786 to 1831 of the family's 1831-position model. Lineage: Eukaryota; Fungi. The record is from RNAcentral.